This 672-nucleotide ribosomal RNA is filed under the name uncultured Enterobacterales bacterium. RNAcentral's name for it is "bacterial SSU rRNA". It matches the Rfam family "Bacterial small subunit ribosomal RNA", at positions 73 to 740 of the family's 1533-position model. Lineage: Bacteria; Pseudomonadati; Pseudomonadota; Gammaproteobacteria; Enterobacterales. The record is from RNAcentral.
AGAGAGCUUGCUCUCGGGUGACGAGUGGCGGACGGGUGAGUAAUGUCUGGGAAACUGCCUGAUGGAGGGGGAUAACUACUGGAAACGGUAGCUAAUACCGCAUAACGUCGCAAGACCAAAGAGGGGGACCUUCGGGCCUCUUGCCAUCAGAUGUGCCCAGAUGGGAUUAGCUAGUAGGUGGGGUAACGGCUCACCUAGGCGACGAUCCCUAGCUGGUCUGAGAGGAUGACCAGCCACACUGGAACUGAGACACGGUCCAGACUCCUACGGGAGGCAGCAGUGGGGAAUAUUGCACAAUGGGCGCAAGCCUGAUGCAGCCAUGCCGCGUGUAUGAAGAAGGCCUUCGGGUUGUAAAGUACUUUCAGCGGGGAGGAGGUGUUGCGGUUAAUAACCGCAGCAAUUGACGUUACCCGCAGAAGAAGCACCGGCUAACUCCGUGCCAGCAGCCGCGGUAAUACGGAGGGUGCAAGCGUUAAUCGGAAUUACUGGGCGUAAAACGCACGCAGGCGGUCUGUCAAGUCGGAUGUGAAAUCCCCGGGCUCAACCUGGGAACUGCAUUCGAAACUGGCAGGCUAGAGUCUUGUAGAGGGGGGUAGAAUUCCAGGUGUAGCGGUGAAAUGCGUAGAGAUCUGGAGGAAUACCGGUGGCGAAGGCGGCCCCCUGGACAAAGAC